CAGUAACACGUAGCUAACCUGCCCUUAGGUCAUGGAUAACCUCGCGAAAGUGAGGGUAAACCAUGGUAGAGGAUUUGGUCUGGAAUGAUAAAUCUUUGAAAUUCGUGCCUAAGGAUGGGGCUGCGGCUGAUUAGGUUGUUGGCGGGGUAAUGGCCCACCAAGCCAUUGAUCAGUAAGGGCUCUUAGCGGAGAGGCCCUGAGAAGGACUCUGAGACACUAGUCCUAGCCCUACGGGGUGCAGCAGUCAAGGAACUUUUGCAAUGCACGUAAGUGUGACAAAGUAAACCAGAGUGUUUUUCUUUUUGAAAAACUUUUGCUUGCUGUAAAAAAGCAGGCGAAUAAGGACUGGGCAAGACUGGUGCCAGCCGCCGCGGUAAUCCCAGCAGUCCGAGUUGCAGCCACAAUUAUUGGGUCUAAAACGUCCGUAGCUUGUUUUGUAAGUUUCCUGUGAAAUCCUGUCUCUUAAGGGCAGGAAUUGCAAGAAAUACUGCAAGGCUUGAGACCGGAAGACGUAAGGAGUACAUUUAAGGUAGUAGUAAAAUAUGUUAAUCUUAAAUGGACUAACAAUAGCGAAGGCACCUUACGAGUACGGAUCUGACAGUGAGGGAUGAAGGCUAGGGGCGCGAAACGGAUUAGAUACCCGCGUAGUCCUAGCAGUAAACACUGCGCACUAAACAUCAUUAUCUCCUCGAGAGAUAUUGGUGCUGCACCGAAGGGGAAGAGUGCGCUACCUGGGAAGUAUAGCCGCAAG
RNAcentral lists this ribosomal RNA (751 nucleotides) under uncultured archaeon. Its description in RNAcentral is "bacterial SSU rRNA". It matches the Rfam family "Archaeal small subunit ribosomal RNA", at positions 91 to 847 of the family's 1478-position model. The record is from RNAcentral.